GACGAACGCUGGCGGCGUGCUUAACACAUGCAAGUCGAACGGAAAGGCCCUGCUUUUGUGGGGUGCUCGAGAGGCGAACGGGUGAGUAACACGUGAGUAACCUGCCCUUGACUUUGGGAUAACUUCAGGAAACUGGGGCUAAUACCGGAUAGGAGCUCCUGCUGCAUGGUGGGGGUUGGAAAGUUUCGGCGGUUGGGGAUGGACUCGCGGCUUAUCAGCUUGUUGGUGGGGUAGUGGCUUACCAAGGCUUUGACGGGUAGCCGGCCUGAGAGGGUGACCGGCCCCAGUGGGACUGAGAUACGGCCCAGACUCCUACGGGAGGAAGCAGUGGGGAAUAUUGCACAAUGGGCGGAAGCCUGAUGCAGCAACGCCGCGUGCGGGAUGACGGCCUUCGGGUUGUAAACCGCUUUCGCCUGUGACGAAGCGUGAGUGACGGUAAUGGGUAAAGAAGCACCGGCUAACUACGUG
RNAcentral lists this ribosomal RNA (468 nucleotides) under uncultured bacterium. RNAcentral describes it as "partial 16S ribosomal RNA". It matches the Rfam family "Bacterial small subunit ribosomal RNA", at positions 28 to 507 of the family's 1533-position model. The record is from RNAcentral.